Molecule: ribosomal RNA, 497 nt
Filed under: uncultured bacterium
Lineage: Bacteria
Description: partial 16S ribosomal RNA
Rfam family: Bacterial small subunit ribosomal RNA
Source: RNAcentral
GAUGAACGCUGGCGGCGUGCCUAAUACAUGCAAGUCGAGCGAACAGACGAGGAGCUUGCUCCUCUGACGUUAGCGGCGGACGGGUGAGUAACACGUGGAUAACCUACCUAUAAGACUGGGAUAACUUCGGGAAACCGGAGCUAAUACCGGAUAAUAUAUUGAACCGCAUGGUUCAAUAGUGAAAGACGGUUUUGCUGUCACUUAUAGAUGGAUCCGCGCCGCAUUAGGUAGUUGGUAAGGUAACGGCUUACCAAGGCAACGAUGCGUAGCCGACCUGAGAGGGUGAUCGGCCAAACUGGAACUGGGACACGGUCCAGGCUCCUAAGGGGGGCCACCAUAGGGAAUCUUCCGCAAUGGGCGAAAGCCUGACGGAGCAACGCCGCGUGAGUGAUGAAGGUCUUCGGAUCGUAAAACUCUGUUAUUAGGGAAGAACAAAUGUGUAAGUAACUAUGCACGUCUUGACGGUACCUAAUCAGAAAGCCACGGCUAACUACGUG